CCUACGGGAGGCAGCAGUGGGGGAUAUUGCACAAUGGGGGGAACCCUGAUGCAGCGACGCCGCGUGGGUGAAGGAGUGCUUCGGCAUGUAAAGCCCUAUCGGCAGGGAAGAAGCAAGACGGUACCUGACUAAGAAGCCCCGGCUAACUACGUGCCAGCAGCCGCGGUAAUACGUAGGGGGCGAGCGUUAUCCGGAUUCACUGGGUGGAAAGGGUGCGUAGACGGCCAUGCAAGCCAGGGGUGAAAGCCCGGGGCCCAACCCCGGGCCUGCCCUUGGAACUGCAUGGCUGGAGUGCGGGAGGGGCAGGCGGAAUGCCUGGUGUAGCGGUGAAAUGCGUAGAUAUCAGGAGGAACACCGGCGGCGAAGGCGGCCUGCUGGACCGCGACUGACGUUGAGGCUCGAAAGCGUGGGGAGCGAACAGGAUUAGAUACCCUUGUAGUC
Molecule: ribosomal RNA, 441 nt
Filed under: uncultured bacterium
Lineage: Bacteria
Description: partial 16S ribosomal RNA
Rfam family: Bacterial small subunit ribosomal RNA
Source: RNAcentral